UUCUCCUUAGCUCAGUUGGCUAGAGCGUUCGACUGUUACAUCUUACUCCCACCCUCCGAAGGGGUGAGAGGGGAACGACAUCGAGAGGUCCACAGUUCAAGCCUGUGAGGGGAAG
Molecule: transfer RNA, 115 nt
Filed under: Coniochaeta sp. 2T2.1
Lineage: Eukaryota; Fungi; Ascomycota; Sordariomycetes; Coniochaetales; Coniochaetaceae
Rfam family: tRNA
About the family: Transfer RNA (tRNA) molecules are approximately 80 nucleotides in length. Their secondary structure includes four short double-helical elements and three loops (D, anti-codon, and T loops).
Source: Rfam by way of RNAcentral